UGAUCCAUAGCUUAGUGGUAUAGCAUCUGCCUUGCAAGCAGAAGGGUCAAGGUACAAUUGCCAGGUAGGGCUGGGGCAG
Molecule: non-coding RNA, 79 nt
Organism: Podarcis lilfordi (Lilford's wall lizard)
Lineage: Eukaryota; Metazoa; Chordata; Lepidosauria; Squamata; Lacertidae
Source: the annotation of a GenBank genome assembly